RNAcentral lists this ribosomal RNA (433 nucleotides) under uncultured bacterium. Its description in RNAcentral is "partial 16S ribosomal RNA". It matches the Rfam family "Bacterial small subunit ribosomal RNA", at positions 29 to 507 of the family's 1533-position model. The record is from RNAcentral.
AACGAACGCUGGCGGCAUGCCUAACACAUGCAAGUCGAACGAGACCUUCGAGUCUAGUGGCGCACGGGUGCGUAACACGUGGGAAUCUGCCCUUUGCUUCGGAAUAACAGUUAGAAAUGACUGCUAAUACCGGAUGAUGUCGAAAGACCAAAGAUUUAUCGGCAAAGGAUGAGCCCGCGUAGGAUUAGGUAGUUGGUGGGGUAAAGGCCUACCAAGCCGACGAUCCUUAGCUGGUCUGAGAGGAUGAUCAGCCACACUGGGACUGAGACACGGCCCAGACUCCUACGGGAGGCAGCAGUGGGGAAUAUUGGACAAUGGGCGAAAGCCUGAUCCAGCAAUGCCGCGUGAGUGAUGAAGGCCUUAGGGUUGUAAAGCUCUUUUACCAGGGAUGAUAAUGACAGUACCUGGAGAAUAAGCUCCGGCUAACUCCGUG